This 486-nucleotide ribosomal RNA is filed under the name uncultured Coxiella sp. Its description in RNAcentral is "bacterial SSU rRNA". It matches the Rfam family "Bacterial small subunit ribosomal RNA", at positions 461 to 947 of the family's 1533-position model. The record is from RNAcentral. Lineage: Bacteria; Pseudomonadati; Pseudomonadota; Gammaproteobacteria; Legionellales; Coxiellaceae.
CUUGAGCGUUGACGUUACCUACAGAAGAAGCACUGGCUAACUCUGUGCCAGCAGCCGCGGUAAUACAGAGAGUGCAAGCGUUAAUCGGAAUCACUGGGCGUAAAGCGCGCGUAGGUGGAUAUUUAAGUCGGAUGUGAAAGCCCUAGGCUUAACCUAGGAACUGCAUUCGAUACUGGAUAUCUCGAGUAUGGUAGAGGGAAGUGGAAUUUCCGGUGUAGCGGUGAAAUGCGUAGAUAUCGGAAAGAACACCAGUGGCGAAGGCGGCUUCCUGGACCAAUACUGACACUGAGGCGCGAAAGCGUGGGGAGCAAACAGGAUUAGAGACCCUGGUAGUCCACGCCGUCAACGAUGAGAACUAGCUGUUGGAGAGUUUGCUUUCUAGUAGCGAAGCUAACGCGUUAAGUUCUCCGCCUGGGGAGUACGGCCGCAAGGUUAAAACUCAAAGAAAUUGACGGGGGCCCGCACAAGCGGUGGAGCAUGUGGUUU